CAUGCACUGGUGGGGUCCCUCGGCCUGGCCUGCACCCUCUCACAAUCCGAGACCCCUAGGGGGAUGUUGGGGAGCCGGUUUCAGCCCAAUCCUGCAGGCCAGGCCGAGGGACCCCACUGGUGCACG
RNAcentral lists this microRNA precursor (126 nucleotides) under Myotis lucifugus (little brown bat). RNAcentral's name for it is "mir-9193 microRNA precursor family". It matches the Rfam family "mir-9193 microRNA precursor family". Lineage: Eukaryota; Metazoa; Chordata; Mammalia; Chiroptera; Vespertilionidae. The record is from Rfam by way of RNAcentral.